GGAGAAUCUGGUGAGAAUCAGUUUAGUUUUUUUACAACGGGGAGAAGACGAUGAUACUUUCCAGCUUCAAAAGCUUCUUUAUUUAUUAUUAUUUGAGCUCCUUAUUCCACCCAAGCCAUGGUUUUGAGGUGAUCCAGCCACCGAAUAUGACUAAUAACCCAGAUACGGUUUUCAUCAGCUGUAACUUUACAGCAAACACCUGGAAAAUUGUAGAUGUUCGACUCAACAAAGUUUUACCAGAGAAAAAGGAGGUGCUCUGCCAGACUGAAUCUCAAGCCUGUCAUAACAUUAUCGUACUUAAAGACACUCCACCCAAGUACAUUUUCAUCUUACUCAAUGUUGGGCCAGAGGAUUGGACCUCAAAGUAUGAAUGUGAGUGUUCAGCAACAAAGACGGAUGGGACAGACAAAACCAUGCUAAUUGCAGCGAACAAAUUAAUUAAACUGCAGCUACAAGAUCAAACUACACCCACGCUACUGAUGAAGCUGACUGGAUACUCUGUGUUGCUAAACGUGUCAACUGGGAACAACACCACAGUGUACUCCUCCCCCUUCACCUCCUCUUCCUCAGUCCCAUCAGCUCAUGUGGAUUUUGAUUGGUUUGCUGGCCCUGAUGUUCGUGUACAGCUGUAUCAUCACCUCCUUCUACAUGAGGCUUAUGAACAGCAGCAAAGAUUGCGAAAACUCCACCUAUGUUGAAAUGAGGAACGUUCCAGUUCAGCUGCAUCCUCACCACAUUUACAAUACUAUGCAAAAGGCUUGAGCUGCCCCUCAUUUCUUUAUAUCUUAUUAGGAAAAUGGGUAAUAGGUUCAGCAAUGUAUUAAAACAUGUAAAAAUACAUGGAAAUACAGUAUCUGCAGUAUAUACAACAGUCUGUACAAUUCUAAGGAACUUUAAAUAUUUCACAUAACCAACUUUAUUCUUCUACAUAGGCUGAACUCUCAAAGGCAAGAUUUCUUAUAAUGUCUGUAAGUAGUUUUCAGGAAUAGCUUCUUAAGUGUGGGGGGGGGCUGCCUGCCUUUAUUCCAUUUUCCAUUAAGAUAGUGUUGAGGCCCAGACCAUGACUAACAGUUUUCUACCCAGAUACGCUUUUUUUGGAUUUCUCAAUCCAUACGACCUGUUGACACUGACUGACUAGACUGUAAAGUAGGCAUUGAUUAAAGUAAAACUUUGAAAGACCUUUAGAAAUCUUAGAGAACUGCUGAUCAUGACCAGUUUAAAAUGUUACAAGAAAGUUUAGCUCCUUAGAAGCAAAAUAUAAAGAAAUGAGGGUAGCUCAAGACUUUUGCACAGUACUGUAGCUCACUCAUCUGUCUUCAGUAUCCUCAAAAAGAAGAUGUGAACAGCUCAUAUUGUGAUCUCAACAUUUUGUUCUUCAGUAUUUGACAUUUCAUUAAGUUGUAUUGUGCAAUAGUAGAAAACCUGUGCGGUACUGAAGUAAAGAGGGGGGUGAACUGACCUCUUAAAGACACAGGGUUUCAUUGACCCAUGAUAUUAUCCAUUAGUUUAAUCUUUUUCAGUUAAUGAUUUUAAAGUCUUACUUUAAAUCAAAUCAAAUCAAAUCGCUUUUAUUGUCACGUCACAUGUGCAGGUACACUGGUACAGUACAUGCGAGUGAAAUUCUUGUGUGUGAGCUUCACAAGCAACAGAGUUGUGCAAAAAUACAAUAACGUAAAACAAGCAAAAUAUAGGAAUGGCUAAAUCUGAAAGUAAUAAAUAUAUGUACAAUAUAUAAGAGUAUAUGCAUUACUGCAUUCUUUAUUAAAAGAAUGUCAGCUAUUGAUUUGAUGUAAUUCCUCAAAAUAGUAAGUGUGGAUUGUACAUCUAGCAUCGUGGUUGGAUUUUGUCUCUGACAUGUUGAAACCUCAUGAUUCUUCCCUGCUCUUAGGUCUUCAGGUCAGAGGUCACUGUUGGGCUUUUCACGCACCAAAGCUGUGGUAUUCUCUUCCAUUGUCUUUACGCCGUGCAGACUCCACUGACUCUUUCAAAAAGCAGCUUAAGACAUUUCUAUACAAACAAGUUUUUAAUUAAUUUUCUCAUUGUUUUGUUUUAUUUAUAUUUCUGGUUUUAUUGUGAAGCACUUUGUGAUUUUUAUCGGUAAUAAGUCCUAUAAAUACAUCUUACUUACUUACUUUUCUAAAUCUUCAAGGAAACUUUCCUUAAUCUUCUAUUCAAAUUACAAUAUUUUAUACUAUGUUUUGCGUAAUUUCCACAUGCUUCAGUGUUUCUGCACACGCACACAACAAUGGUACAAUUUCUAAUUAUUGCGGUACUACAUGCCUUAUUGCUAAUAAUAUUAUAUUUUUAUAAAUAUACCUCAAGCUCCCCAUUAGUGGCCAGUUUGGUUUCUGUCUCAUUGCUUGUAUCAUUUAAUGAUAUUUAUCCUAGUUUGCACAUUUCAAGCUGGAGAAAAUGUGCCCAUUAGCAGCCACAGAAUCGGUUCAAUAUCCUUUAUUAAGGAUAAAUGUAAUUGUAACCUCUUAGUUAAUCUGAACGAUAACAGAUGGCAGCCACCUGUUUUUUUGCUGGAGGGGAACAGAAAAUCAUUGUAUUUGUCAUCACAUGUAGCAAAUAUCAUACCUUGACUUUUGAAUGGCCUGUUGUCUUUAUGUGUCUUUUAUUUCAAAAUAGAUUUGUAUGGUUUCUUUUAAUCAAUAAAAAUUUAAUCUCUG
Oreochromis aureus is the source of this 2672-nucleotide long non-coding RNA. The record is from Ensembl. Lineage: Eukaryota; Metazoa; Chordata; Actinopteri; Cichliformes; Cichlidae.